Molecule: ribosomal RNA, 208 nt
Filed under: uncultured bacterium
Lineage: Bacteria
Description: partial 16S ribosomal RNA
Rfam family: Bacterial small subunit ribosomal RNA
Source: RNAcentral
ACGCUCGACACCUACGUGAGGCAGCAGUGGGGAAUAUUGGGCAAUGGGCGCAAGCCUGACCCAGCAACGCCGCGUGAAGGAAGAAGGCUUUCGGGUUGUAAACUUCUUUUGUCAGGGAACAGUAGAUGAGGGUACCUGACGAAUAAGCUCCGGCUAACUACGUGCCAGCAGCCGCGGUAAGUACUGAGGCGGGCGUGGCGAACGGACG